CCUACGGGUGGCAGCAGUGGGGAAUAUUGCGCAAUGAGCGAACGCCUGACGCAGCGACGCCGCGUGAGGGAUGAAUGUCUUCGGAUCGUAAACCUCUGUCAGCAGGGAAGCACGGUCACUGUGCUAAUCAGCAGUGAAUUGACGGUACCUGCAAAGGAAGCACCGGCUAACUCCGUGCCAGCAGCCGCGGUAAUACGGAGGGUGAGAGCGUUAAUCGGAAUUACUUGGCGUAAAGCGCUCGUAGGCGGUAUGUCAAGUCAAUGGUGAAAUCCCCGGGCUAAACGUGGGAACUGCCUUUGAAACUGGAAAACUGGAGUGUGGGAGAGGAUAGUGGAAUUCCAGGUGUAGGAGUGAAAUCCGUAGAUAUCUGGAGGAACAUCAGUGGCGAAGGCGACUAUCUGGCACAUAACUGACGCUGAGGAGCGAAAGCGUGGGUAGCAAACAGGAUUAGAUACCCUUGUAGUC
This 465-nucleotide ribosomal RNA is filed under the name uncultured bacterium. Its description in RNAcentral is "partial 16S ribosomal RNA". It matches the Rfam family "Bacterial small subunit ribosomal RNA", at positions 338 to 795 of the family's 1533-position model. The record is from RNAcentral.